GCACAAGCGGUGGAGCAUGUGGUUUAAUUCGAAGCAACGCGAAGAACCUUACCAGGUCUUGACAUCCCGCUGACCGCUAUGGAGACAUAGUUUUCCCUUCGGGGACAGCGGUGACAGGUGGUGCAUGGUUGUCGUCAGCUCGUGUCGUGAGAUGUUGGGUUAAGUCCCGCAACGAGCGCAACCCUUGAUCUUAGUUGCCAUCAUUUAGUUGGGCACUCUAAGGUGACUGCCGGUGACAAACCGGAGGAAGGUGGGGAUGACGUCAAAUCAUCAUGCCCCUUAUGACCUGGGCUACACACGUGCUACAAUGGCCGGUACAAACCGUUGCGAUGCCGCAAGGUGGAGCUAAUCGGAGAAAGCCGGUCUCAGUUCGGAUUGCAGGCUGCAACUCGCCUGCAUGAAGUUGGAAUCGCUAGUAAUCGCGGAUCAGCACGCCGCGGUGAAUACGUUCCCGGGC
Molecule: ribosomal RNA, 457 nt
Filed under: uncultured bacterium
Lineage: Bacteria
Description: bacterial SSU rRNA
Rfam family: Bacterial small subunit ribosomal RNA
Source: RNAcentral